This is a long non-coding RNA of Oreochromis aureus, 379 nucleotides long. The record is from Ensembl. NCBI's taxonomy places the organism in Eukaryota, Metazoa, Chordata, Actinopteri, Cichliformes, Cichlidae.
CCGCAUGUUCACGGUGCAUUUUUUAUGGAAUAUGUUGAGCAAACCUGGAGAAGCGUCAGCUCAAGAUAUUAUUGUUGUCAUUGCUGUGGAUUUUUACCUGAUACACUGACUUGACUUGAGAUAUGACUGCACUAUGCUGUUGCUGGUGACCACAGUUAAUUCUACAAGACAUGCUGUGACACCAGGAGAGAUGAGUCCUCCGUCACAGAUGGUGUGGUCAGUGAAGAUGGUCGCCUGCAGGUUCAAGUUCAUUGCAUCUCCAACCCACAUCCACUGCCACUGUACUUAAGGGAAGUUAAAGACUUUCUUCUGCACCUACAUUUGGAUCACCUCGAUCCAUGACAGUCAUUCAGGCAGUAAUGCCUGGACUGGAAACAAG